AUGAACGCUGGCGGCGUGCCUAAUACCUGCAAGUCGAGCGAACAGACGAGGAGCUUGCUCCUCUGACGUUAGCGGCGGACGGGUGAGUAACACGUGGAUAACCUACCUAUAAGACUGGGAUAACUUCGGGAAACCGGAACUAAUACCGGAUAAUAUAUUGAACCGCAUGGUUCAAUAGUGAAAGACGGUUUUGCUGUCACUUAUAGAUGGAUCCGCGCCGCAUUAGCUAGUUGGUAAGGUAACGGCUUACCAAGGCAACGAUGCGUAGCCGACCUGAGAGGGGGAUCGGCCACACUGGAACUGAGACACGGUCCAGACUCCAACGGGAGGCAGCAGUAGGGAAUCUUCCGCAAUGGGCGAAAGCCUGACGGAGCAACGCCGCGUGAGUGAUGAAGGUCUUCGGAUCGUAAAACUCUGUUAUUAGGGAAGAACAAAUGUGUAAGUAACUAUGCACGUCUUGACGGUACCUAAUCAGAAAGCCACGGCUAACUACGU
This 495-nucleotide ribosomal RNA is filed under the name uncultured bacterium. RNAcentral's name for it is "partial 16S ribosomal RNA". It matches the Rfam family "Bacterial small subunit ribosomal RNA", at positions 29 to 506 of the family's 1533-position model. The record is from RNAcentral.